This 203-nucleotide ribosomal RNA is filed under the name uncultured bacterium. RNAcentral's name for it is "partial 16S ribosomal RNA". It matches the Rfam family "Bacterial small subunit ribosomal RNA", at positions 524 to 722 of the family's 1533-position model. The record is from RNAcentral.
UACGUAGGGUGCGAGCGUUUAAUCGGAAUUACUGGGCGUAAAGUGUGCGCAGGCGGCAGAGCAAGUCGAGUGUGAAAGCCCCGGGCUUAACUUGGGAAUUGCGCUCGAAACUACUUUGCUGGAGUGUGGCAGAGGAAGGUGGAAUUCCACGUGUAGCGGUGGAAAUGACGUAGAGAUGUGGAGGAACACCAAAUGGCGAAGGC